UAUGCAAAUUGUUUUAUUUAAAAAAAAAUAUAUUUGAGAUAAGCGAAUAAUAAUAAAUUAUUCGGUAAAUUAUUUUUAUACAAUAUUUAUUUAAAUGAAUAUAAUGCAUUAUUUCUUUACUUGAUUACUUGAUUACAAAUGACACGUACAAAGGAACUAUUGAAUAUAGAAUUGCGAUGUUUUAUGAGCCUUAAAUUAAUUUUAUUAUGACCGGUUCACAUUACUCUAGUAGCCUAUUCCAGUCCAGCGAUCUCAUCCAGCGCUCCAACUCAAAUCAUGUUAACGGUGUUUUAGUUCACGUACUGAAUCAAGUGUGCAAUAUUAAAAUUCUCUAAACGCAAAAUAAUGUAGUGUGCUUAGUCCAUACCAUUUGGGAUUCACAUUGCAUUGACAAGUAUCGUGAUGUGACAGACGGCGAUUGGACUCAUAUAUUGUUGUACACAAUCUCUAACCAAAUUAAAUUGCCUAAAAUACUAACUAAAAAAUCUUGUUCUAUACUUUUCCGCGUAGACCAUAGUGAAAGGCCAAGCAAUACAAUUAUAACGGUCAUUUCUGUUUAGUUUAGAGAUUGUAUUCAGCAGAAUCAGCCACAUUUUACAUGAAGACUGGCACACUUGUCUUGUUCCGAUUGCAACACACUUUUCGCUGCAACACACACUACAUACACAGUAAUGUUUGUUUCAAUUAUCUGUAAAUUAGUAUUAUGUAGACGACGCUUUCCAUUUCAGUCAAUGCUGAAAAACCCUUACUUGACUCGGGCAGCGACUAGAAACUAGAAUAAUGUGCACUAGCCAUAAAACUUAACAAUAUUACAACAUAAUCAUUCAUGACCCGACAUCGGACUGCAUGCAUUCACAAAUUUACAUAUAAAAUACUAAAACAUAUACACCGCCUUCGAUCUCCGUAAAGUAAACGCAAGUAACUCAAAAUAUGUGAAUUUUUACAAUGUGACAUAAGUUUGGCAGUUAUGACAAUUUAUAAUGAAACAUUUAAUACAAAUUAGACGCUAUGUAGUAUUCAGCUGUUCGAUUGCGGUUGAAUGACAGUUACAAUGUCACGAUCGCAAUCAGCUCUGAUUGGUUGACGCUCGCUCACUAUUCAAUCCGUUAUUGCAACAAGAAUACUAUAAAUUCAGCCCACAACAAUUACGAUUGUAAUAAUGAUUGAUGCAGGUUUUCUAGAAUACCUACUGGUAUUCAGAAAACAAGCCAAAAUUUAGUGGCAAGUUCUUACAGAAGUCACUAUCAUUGCCAUAUCAAUUUCUACACGUUUUUAGGCUGAAAUCUAUAGAGUGUACUUUGACUUUGCUCAGAUUAAGCUAAAGUUAAAACGAGACGGUUUUAUGUCAGCAGGCUUGUUGUAAUAGCGCUGUCUCGUUUUAACAAUGUCUUAAGUCUAAGCAAAGUCAAAGUGUGCUCUAUAGAUCUCAACCUUAGACUACAAAACAUGCAAGAAGUUGAGUGGCUGUGAGUUGUACACCAAGUGAACACCCGUGAAUUCUGCAAGAAAUUGCGGAAGGCUAACAAACUGUAAAGUUGCUAAACAUUAACAGUAAUUUGAUUGAAAAUCGGACCAUAAUAUGCAUAUGCGCAAAUGCAUACAAACAACGCAUGUAAGCUAGGUAUACCCUUCAAUCUUAUCAACUAGGUAGUUCAAACUAAUAUUUUCAUGGCAAUAAUAUUUGGUAAAUACGUUUUUACAAGUUGCGAAGUAGAUGACGAGACAUUAAACUCUGCGUUAGUUAAUUAUUAUUAGACACGCCACGUUCAGUAUUUGUAGUUUUAGACAACUGAGAUCGAUGUCGAGUAGUUAUAGGCUGAGAUCUAUAGAGCGGACUUUACUUUGCUCAGACUUAAGACACUGUUAAAACGAGACAACGUUAUACCGCUGGCUUAAAUCUGUCUCGUUUUAACGGAAGCUUAAGGGUGAGGCCAAACGGACGUAAUUUUUUGAGUUGUAAGUCGCGUAAUUUCGGUUGCGUAAUUUCUGCUGCAUUCAGUUUCAUACAAAAGUUCAACUCAUUUUGCGUCGCCGUGUGGCACGAACUGGACUUUUGUAUGAAACCGAAUGCAGCAGAAAUUACGCGACCGAAAUUACGCGACUGACAAUUCACAAAAUUACGCUCGUUUGGCCUCGACCUUAGUCUGUCUCGUUUUGUCUGAGCAAAGUCAAAGUACACUUUACAGAUCUCAGACUAAAGAGGUUGUGAACCUAUUGUGUAUAUGUGACUAUUAUAGUGAUAAAUACAGAUUGUUACACAAUUUAGAGAGAAAAUCUUAAAGAAAAUCUUAAACAGAAGAGAUACGCAAGAUUAAUGAACUGUAUGCGCGCGAUCUAGUAGCAUGAGUCACAACACGAGAACGUUGAUCGAUUUCGGACAUAGAAAUAAUGUUAGAAUGAAAUAUACUUAGGGGCGAUUUUUCAAUCGUGAAAUAACUUUUAUCUGAGGAAUAUAAAUAGCCGCUAUAAAUGUAUCGACGAACUUGAACCAUAAAACAAGAAAAUUAAGCUCCAUUUUACUUUGACAUUUGUGUUUCUAUACUCGAAAUCUAUCAGCGUGUAAACUCGUACUAAAACCUGUAUGCAAUAGAAACAAAAUAAAACUGAAAGAUCACAUUAUGAUUAAUCGAGAACAAAUAAAAUUCUACAUUAUGGCAGUGUGAAUUAG
Molecule: long non-coding RNA, 2668 nt
Organism: Maniola jurtina (meadow brown)
Lineage: Eukaryota; Metazoa; Arthropoda; Insecta; Lepidoptera; Nymphalidae
Exons: 3
Source: RefSeq, a predicted model, not a curated record